UGAAUGAAGUAAGUAAUGGGAAUGAAUUAUAUAGAACCUGAAAGAGAACAAAAUGAAUGAGAAAGAGCAUAAAGGAAGGGCGGUUGAACCAGAAA
Ipomoea nil (Japanese morning glory) is the source of this 95-nucleotide long non-coding RNA. RefSeq lists it as uncharacterized. Lineage: Eukaryota; Viridiplantae; Streptophyta; Magnoliopsida; Solanales; Convolvulaceae. The record is from RefSeq and is a predicted model, not a curated record. The transcript has 3 exons.